UCCCACAUUGACUAAGCACCAGGUCCCC
Molecule: non-coding RNA, 28 nt
Filed under: Homo sapiens (human)
Lineage: Eukaryota; Metazoa; Chordata; Mammalia; Primates; Hominidae
Source: RNAcentral